Molecule: ribosomal RNA, 496 nt
Filed under: uncultured bacterium
Lineage: Bacteria
Description: partial 16S ribosomal RNA
Rfam family: Bacterial small subunit ribosomal RNA
Source: RNAcentral
GAUGAACGCUGGCGGCGUGCCUAAUACAUGCAGGUCGAGCGAACGGACGAGAAGCUUGCUUCUCUGAUGUUAGCGGCGGACGGGUGAGUAACACGUGGAUAACCUACCUAUAAGACUGGGAUAACUUCGGGAAACCGGAGCUAAUACCGGAUAAUAUUUUGAACCGCAUGGUUCAAAAGUGAAAGACGGUCUUGCUGUCACUUAUAGAUGGAUCCGCGCUGCAUUAGCUAGUUGGUAAGGUAACGGCUUACCAAGGCAACGAUGCAUAGCCGACCUGAGAGGGUGAUCGGCCACACGGGAACUGAGACACGGUCCAGACUCCUACGGGAGGCAGCAGUAGGGAAUCUUCCGCAAUGGGCGAAAGCCUGACGGAGCAACGCCGCGUGAGUGAUGAAGGUCUUCGGAUCGUAAAACUCUGUUAUUAGGGAAGAACAUAUGUGUAAGUAACUGUGCACAUCUUGACGGUACCUAAUCAGAAAGCCACGGCUAACUACGU